ACGGGGCGCAGCAGCGCGAAACUGCGCAUGCGCGAAAGCGCGACGCGGGGAUUCAAGUGCUCUACAUGUAGUAGCUGUCAAAAUCCUAAAAAGAUUUAAAGUAAGGGCUGGGUAAGACCGGUGCCAGCCGCCGCGGUAAUACCGGCAGCCCGAGUGGUGAUCGUUUUUAUUGGGUCUAAAGCGUCCGUAGCUGCUUGAUAAAUCCCUAGGUAAAUCGAACGGCUUAACCGUUCGGAUUCUUGGGAGACUGUCAGGCUUGGGACCGGGAGAGGUCUGAGGUACUUUUAGGGUAGAGGUGAAAUUCUGUAAUCCUAAGGGGACCACCAGUGGCGAAGGCGUCAGACUUGAACGGAUCCGACGGUGAGGGACGAAGGCCAGGGGCGCGAACCGGAUUAGAUACCCGGGUAGUCCUGGCUGUAAACGCUGUGGGCUUGGUGUUGGGGGUCCCACGUGGGCACCCAGUGCCGGAGAGAAGUUGUUAAGCUCACCACCUGGGGAGUACGGUCGCAAGACUGAAACUUAAAGGAAUUGGCGGGGGAGCACCGCAACGAGAGGAGCGUGCGGUUUAAUUGGAUUCAACGCCGGAAAACUCACCGGGGGCGACCAAUGGAUGAGGCUCAGUCUGAAGGGCUUAGCCGAUAGUUGGAGAGGUGGUGCAUGGCCGUCGUCAGUUCGUACCGUAAGGCGUUCUGUUAAGUCAGAUAACGAACGAGACCCUCGCCCUUAAUUGCUAAUCUUAUCUCCGGAUGAGAUGCACAUUAGGGGGACCGCUGUUGCUAAAACAGAGGAAGGUGGGGUCAACGGUAGGUCAGUAUGCCCCGAAUCCCUCGGGCUACACGCGCGCUACAAAGGUCAGGACAAUGGGUUCCGACACCGAAAGGUGAAGGUAAUCUCGAAACCUAACCAUAGUUCGGAUUGAGGGCUGUAAUUCGCCCUCAUGAAGUUGGAUUUCGUAGUAAUCGUGUGUCAACAUCACACGGUGAAUAUGCCCCUGCUCCUUGCACACACCGCCCGUCAAACCAUCCGAGUCGGGUUUGAGCGAGGGCGCCUUUUUGGGGCGUCG
Molecule: ribosomal RNA, 1063 nt
Filed under: uncultured euryarchaeote
Lineage: Archaea; Methanobacteriati; Methanobacteriota
Description: bacterial SSU rRNA
Rfam family: Archaeal small subunit ribosomal RNA
Source: RNAcentral